CAUGGUCGUGUAUUUGUCCAUGUUUUUGUCGGUUGUAAGUCCACAUGUUGUAUACAGAUAGCUAGUCUGUUGUGACAUGUUCUUUUCAGUGACAAGUUUUUCAGGAGAGAUGAAUAUUUAAUCAUCUCGUAUUAGAAGGUAUCAUUGGAAUUUUGUACCUACUGGACUUGAAGGGCAUUCCAAGUGACGAAAUGCUGAUUCGGAAUACAGAAAAACAACAAAAUGUAACCAGAAUCGUAUUUUGAAGAGAUUCCUCACGGCCUAGUUAAGAUAACCAGGCUUUUGUCUGAUUGUGUAUUAAUCAUUUGUCACGGUCCGUUGGCCGCGUGGUCAAAUACUGGUUGCGCAAGGACACUGGCCUUUGAUUGUUACGGAUAUCAACGCACCACUCCAUCAUAUCGUCAAUUAUGAAAAACAAAAGGCUUCUUCUCAUCUCGAUGACGUUUUUCCCGCCAGUUCUGUUGGUACUGCUGCUGACUAAAGGGGAGACAACUGCAGCUGUCACCAUCAUCAGAACCUUGGUUCCUCGACAAAUCGAGGUGUGUGACAAGGAGGCGGUUGCGGUACCCGAGCUAUAUAUAGAACGGAUCCGGGGCUACUUCCUGUUGAGAAGGUGUACUUCCGGUUUCCAGUUCUCCAUACUUGCCUGUGGAUGUGUCGAAACCAUUCCCGAGGUCAUCACGACUACACCAGGAACACGUCCUGCCGUAAUAGGAGUAGAGAACACAGACAUCACAGGUAUACCAGUUUUCCUCCAAAAUGGCGGACACGACGAUGGUUUCUGUGGACCUUCCUUCAGAUUUAUCUACAACCGCACGACAAUGUCGGACGAUCGUUCCGUGCCAUCUCUCGCCUCAAACUCCGCCCGGUUCGCUAGACUUCCGGGAAGUGUUGGAGGGACGUCAUUGUUGCUAGGGAGGGAUGGUUUCCUGACAAUAUGGACCAUGAGCUACAUCACCUUUGCGAACAGGUUUAAGUUCAUGAUUCGAUUCAAGCUUCGAGAUGACUAUGAUUAUCAAGACCACCUCUACAACUUACUUGGGUGAUGGACCCUGUGGGAACUACACUUCUAAAUAUAGAAUUAGUAUAAACCCCGUCAAACGUGAGGUACACGCUGAUGUUACUCUGAGGAAUCGCGCCAUGAUCAACCUUGCCCUGUCAGACGUGAGGAUGGACGAUUGGACAGUUGUGGAGCUGGAGGCCGUGAGAGGACAGAUCCGCCUCGUCAUUGAUAACAAGGAAAGUAGGGGCUAUAUCGGAGCUUCCACCAUUAAAUCGUCCCCGUGUCCUAUGGAGAUAGGAAAGGACUUGCAGACAGCUGCGGGUUUCGUCGGUUACAUUGACGUGCUUGCCUUCCACAACUGUUUUGGAAAUUGAGUGCCUGAAUUCGUGCUAGUUUCCGGUGAUACAUAUGAUGACGUGGGCUCAUUUCCGGUUGGACGGAAAUGAUAACUUAAGAACAUCAAGACAUUUGUAAGUGUUAUGAUGAGAUGACCAAAUCGCUGUGGCUGCUGUUGAAUAACCUUGAGGAACACGAUGAACCGUGAGAACGUGUCAAGCCCCUGUGGUCGUACCCGUCCUAACAAUGCACUUUUAAGCGGGAGGGCCAACACAGAAUUUACAUACAAUACAUAAAUCAUUUAAGAUGUUAUUUAAGUUAUAUUUAGACUAAUGCGUGUUUUCUUUAGGUUGUGUCAUAUUCAUUUGUAACCACUCAGCCAGAGACUUCCUUCAAUGAUUCCACCGGCGUUUGUGACAUAGAUGUAUUCCUCAGUGCAUAUCCAACAGCCUAUACGUGAUAGCCAUCCUUAAUGAAUUGUUAAAGACGUAUAAACAUGAUGAAAAGCCGGAAUUAAACACAGACUGUUUGAUUGCCUCCCAACCUCAUAGAAAUGAUGGACUUCAUCUCAUCGCCGUCCUGAUCAAAGUGAUUUUGAUCUACGAAAAAGUUUAACUUUAACAUUUGUGUGUGUGAGAGCACGGGGGCUUGGCACGAUUUUAGAAAUGAUAGUCCAUAUAUAUAUGUACAGUGGACCCGCGAUAAUCCGGACACCGAUAGUCCGGAAAACUCACAGUCCGGACGGACAUGCACGGGGACGGAUUUCCGUAACGUUAUUUGUACUCACCAGUCCGGAAAUUCGGAAUGUAUUAUAUGGACUAACAUGUAUAAAAUCGUGCCAAGUCCCUGUGUGAGAGAAUGUCUAAGCUUCAGAUUUACCAUAUACCUACCUUUUACCUAUACAGGUACAUGUAGUAGCUUAUACCAGAGACAUAUAUAUAUGUGUAUAUGUCUCUGUUUAUACAACCAUUUAAUACGUAUAUUAUCUAUCAGUAAUAGUAGAUCGUGUUUGCCUUAUAAUCAAUGUCGUUACUCGUUCAUUUUACCACAGGGACUUGAGAAUUUGUUACAGUCUACCGUAACAAAUUCUCAAAUCCCUGUGCAUUUUUUCCAUCUCUGUUGUUAUGCCUGCUUCUUCCUUCUUGUCUUCAUUAUAUCUCCCUAUAAUCUUCAAUAUUUAUGUACGUAACUCAUCCACCAUUUAUAUCUGUUCUCGAAUUUCGUAACUUAUUUAUAUUUUACUGAUCCAUGAAUAAAAACAAACUAUGGUUUUUAUUACUUAUUGA
Molecule: long non-coding RNA, 2625 nt
Organism: Pecten maximus
Lineage: Eukaryota; Metazoa; Mollusca; Bivalvia; Pectinida; Pectinidae
Exons: 8
Source: RefSeq, a predicted model, not a curated record